AGGAAGGUUUUUGGAUCGUAAACCCCUUUUGUCAAGGAAGAAGCUCUGACGGUACUUGACAAAUAAGCCUCGGCUAACUCCGUGCCAGCAGCCGCGGUAAUACGGAGGAGGCAAGCGUUAUCCGGAAUGAUUGGGCGUAAAGCGUCUGUAGGUGGCCAGCUAAGUCUGCUGUUAAAGAUCACAGCUCAGCUGUGGGAAGGCAGUGGAAACUGGCAAGCUAGAGGUUGGUAGGGGUAAAGGGAAUUCCCGGUGUAGCGGUGAAAUGCGUAGAUAUCGGGAAGAACACCGGUGGCGAAAGCGCUUUACUGGGCCAGACCUGACACUGAAGGACGAAAGCUAGGGGAGCGAAAGGGAUUAGAUACCCCUGUAGU
Molecule: ribosomal RNA, 371 nt
Filed under: uncultured cyanobacterium
Lineage: Bacteria; Bacillati; Cyanobacteriota
Description: bacterial SSU rRNA
Rfam family: Bacterial small subunit ribosomal RNA
Source: RNAcentral